CGUAAACGAUGUCGACUUGGAGGUUGUGCCCUGAGGCGUGGCUUCUGGAGCUAACGCGUUAAGUCGACCGCUGGGGAGUACGGCCGCAAGGUUAAAACUCAAAUGAAUUGACGGGGGCCCGCACAGCGGUGGAGCAUGUGGUUUAAUUCGAUGCAACGCGAAGAACCUUACCUGGCCUUGACAUCCAGAGAACUUAGCAGAGAUGCUUUGGUGCCUUCGGGAACUCUGAGACAGGUGCUGCAUGGCUGUCGUCAGCUCGUGUUGUGAAAUGUUGGGUUAAGUCCCGCAACGAGCGCAACCCUUAUCCUUUGUUGCCAGCGGUUCGGCCGGGAACUCAAAGGAGACUGCCGGUGAUAAACCGGAGGAAGGUGGGGAUGACGUCAAGUCAUCAUGGCCCUUACGGCCAGGGCUACACACGUGCUACAAUGGCGCAUACAAAGAGAAGCGACCUCGCGAGAGCAAGCGGACCUCAUAAAGUGCGUCGUAGUCCGGAUUGGAGUCUGCAACUCGACUCCAUGAAGUCGGAAUCGCUAGUAAUCGUAGAUCAGAAUGCUACGGUGAAUACGUUCCCGGGCCUUGUACACACCGCCCGUCACACCAUGGGAGUGGGUUGCAAAAGAAGUAGGUAGCUUAACCUCCGGGAGGGCGCUUACCACUUUGUGAUUCAUGACUGGGGUGAAGUCGUAACAAGGUAACCAAGGGCGAAUUCUG
This 711-nucleotide ribosomal RNA is filed under the name uncultured Pantoea sp. RNAcentral's name for it is "bacterial SSU rRNA". It matches the Rfam family "Bacterial small subunit ribosomal RNA", at positions 801 to 1515 of the family's 1533-position model. Lineage: Bacteria; Pseudomonadati; Pseudomonadota; Gammaproteobacteria; Enterobacterales; Erwiniaceae. The record is from RNAcentral.